This 2118-nucleotide long non-coding RNA is filed under the name Phaseolus vulgaris (common bean). RNAcentral's name for it is "long non-coding RNA (PVUL_LNC002612)". The record is from RNAcentral. Lineage: Eukaryota; Viridiplantae; Streptophyta; Magnoliopsida; Fabales; Fabaceae.
UAAUGGUUUAAGUUAUCUUUUGAGUGUUCUGGGUUGAGUUAUGAGCCAUAAAGAGUGUUGGGAUGUGGAGGAAAAAUGAGAGUGUUGUCGUCGGGGUGGUGAAGGGUGGGGUUUUUGUGGCCGUGGUAAGGUUUAAGUAAAGCAAUGUGAAGCAACCACUCCUAUGCAUUUGAUGAUGCGAUAUGGACCAUAAUAUUUUCGAAUGAGUUUGUGGUGAGGCUUGGAAGAGAGGGAAAAUUGUUGGUAUGCUUUUCGUCGUAGUGGCACCCAAUUGUUAAUGUUGAAGACGUAGUCGUGAUUUGUUUGCAAUUUGGGCCAUGCGAUGUUGAGUGUGAGCGAGGGUGGUCUUCAAAUGGUGCAUUAUCUAUGUGCACUCUUGUAAGGUAGUGGCGAGAGCUGGUUCUGUUGUCGUGCUCGAAAUGUAGUCUGAUAUGGAAGGUGGAGGUCGCCCAUAAAGCGCUUGGAAAGGUGUAGUAUUGAUUGCGGUAUGGUAGGACGAGUUAUACCAAAACUCAACAAGGUGUAAGUACUUGUACCAUGUCCUCGGAUGGUCACUUGCGAAGGUAAAUUUCUAAUCCUCUAUUUAUGACUUCCGUUUGACCAUCUGUUUGAGGAUGAUAGGCGGUGCUAAAUUUGAGUUUGGUGCCUUGUAGGUGAAAAUGUUGCUUCCAAAAAAUUACUGAGUAAGAGUGAGUCUCUAUCGAAGAUGAUGGAUUUGGGAAUGUCGUGCAACCUACAAAUCUCAACAGAAAACGGUUAGCCAAUUGGGAUACGGUGAAGGAGGUGGGUAAUGCUAUGAGGUGGACAGAUUUGGACAAAAGAUCACAUAUGACCCAUAUCACCGUGUGGCUAAAUGUGUUAUGAAAUCUGUGGUGAGCUCAUCCCAAAUUUGGGUUGGUGAGGGAUUGGGUUGUAAAAGACCUAAGGGUUUGUUGUUGACUUGUUUAUUUUUUUUGGCAAGGGAGACAUUGUUUGAUGAACGAUUUGACAUCUCUAUACAUCCCUGGCCAAUAUAAGGACGCGGCUAGGCGAGCCACAAUGGCUUUAAGGCCCGAGUGUCCAACAGAGGGGGUGGCAUGGAACUAGUGAAGUAUGGUGGUGUGCAGAGAUUAUAUGGAUGUUAGAUAUAGUCUUCGGUCGAGAUACAAAAGAUCGUUUUGAAAGGUAUAUUCUUUGUUUUGAGAAGCUGUAACUUUGUGUACUUCUUGUUUCCCCAAUUUUGACUGGUAAUAUUUUUUUAAUUGCAAGAGGAUUUCUAGGAUUGGGGAGGAGAUGGCCAAAAAAAUAGAAGUGGGUGACCGAGAGAGGAAAUAAACUGCUUGAUUGUGGCGGUCUGGGCGGUACAAAAUAUAAAAAAUGUAACCAAUGAGUUUGGUGGCCAUUUUUGUUGCUCUAGAGUAGAACAUGCCUUGGUAAGUAACCCCUUAAGACUUCUGUGAGAAUUUGGAAAUGAUUGUCAAUUAGGUAGUGUCUCCAUUUUUUUAUUGCCUUAGUGAUUGCGAGCAUUUCUUUGACAUGCACUAAAUUAUAAUGUAUUUUGGAACAUAGCUUCUUGCUGAAGAAAGCAAUGGGAUGACCAGCUUGGGAGAGAACUGUGCCAAUGACAGAAUUGGAGGCAUCUUUUUCAACCACAAACGAAAGAGAAAAAUCUAGAAGAUGUAGAACAAAGAGUGUAGUUAGGAAUUUCUUAAAUUGUAAAAAGGUCUUUUGUGCCUCUUCAUUCCAUGUAAAAACUUUGAAUUUUAGUAAAUCCGUGAAUGGAGGGGCAAGAAUGGCAUAACCGUGUAUAAAUUUGUGAUAAAACUCGGUAAUUCCCAAAAAAACGCGGAGAGUGGUGAGAGAGGUAGGUUUGGGCCAAAGAAGUAUGGCCUGAAUCUUGUCUGGGUCAGGAGCAACAGUCCCUGCUUGAAUGAUAUGGCCCAAAUAGAAAACCCUAGACGUUGCAAACAUGCACUUAGAUUCUUUGACAAAAAAUUGUUGUCUUGAAGUAAUUAGAGAGUAAUGGUAAGGUGUUGGAUAUGCUCUGACAUGGAUUUACUGUAGAUAAGGAUGUCAUAAAUAAACUAGCACAAAUUGUCUUAGAUGCGGUCUUAGGAGGUCGUUCAUGGCCGCUUGAAA